UGGCGGCAGGCUACCAUGCACGUCGAACGGUAGCACAGAGAGCUUGCUCUCGGGUGACGAGUGGCGGACGGGUGAGUAAUGUCUGGGAAACUGCCUGAUGGAGGGGGAUAACUACUGGAAACGGUAGCUAAUACCGCAUAACGUCGCAAGACCAAAGAGGGGGACCUUCGGGCCUCUUGCCAUCAGAUGUGCCCAGAUGGGAUUAGCUAGUAGGUGGGGUAACGGCUCACCUAGGCGACGAUCCCUAGCUGGUCUGAGAGGAUGACCAGCCACACUGGAACUGAGACACGGUCCAGACUCCUACGGGAGGCAGCAGUGGGGAAUAUUGCACAAUGGGCGCAAGCCUGAUGCAGCCAUGCCGCGUGUAUGAAGAAGGCCUUCGGGUUGUAAAGUACUUUCAGCGGGGAGGAAGGUGUUGUGGUUAAUAACCGCAGCAAUUGACGUUACCCGCAGAAGAAGCACCGGCUAACUCCGUGCCAGCAGCCGCGGUAAUACGGAGGGUGCAAGCGUUAAUCGGAAUUACUGGGCGUAAAGCGCACGCAGGCGGUCUGUCAAGUCGGAUGUGAAAUCCCCGGGCUCAACCUGGGAACUGCAUUCGAAACUGGCAGGCUGGAGUCUUGUAGAGGGGGGUAGAAUUCCAGGUGUAGCGGUGAAAUGCGUAGAGAUCUGGAGGAAUACCGGUGGCGAAGGCGGCCCCCUGGACAAAGACUGACGCUCAGGUGCGAAAGCGUGGGGAGCAAACAGGAUUAGAUACCCUGGUAGUCCACGCCGUAAACGAUGUCGAUUUGGAGGUUGUGCCCUUGAGGCGUGGCUUCCGGAGCUAACGCGUUAAAUCGACCGCCUGGGGAGUACGGCCGCAAGGUUAAAACUCAAAUGAAUUGACGGGGGCCCGCACAAGCGGUGGAGCAUGUGGUUUAAUUCGAUGCAACGCGAAGAACCUUACCUGGUCUUGACAUCCACAGAACUUACCAGAGAUGCUUUGGUGCCUUCGGGAACUGUGAGACAGGUGCUGCAUGGCUGUCGUCAGCUCGUGUUGUGAAAUGUUGGGUUAAGUCCCGCAACGAGCGCAACCCUUAUCCUUUGUUGCCAGCGGUUAGGCCGGGAACUCAAAGGAGACUGCCAGUGAUAAACUGGAAGAA
Molecule: ribosomal RNA, 1139 nt
Filed under: Enterobacter cloacae
Lineage: Bacteria; Pseudomonadati; Pseudomonadota; Gammaproteobacteria; Enterobacterales; Enterobacteriaceae
Description: bacterial SSU rRNA
Rfam family: Bacterial small subunit ribosomal RNA
Source: RNAcentral